CCGAGCUGCUGAUGAGAUGGUUAUCCCUGUCCGAAACGGAACGUCCCUCUGUGGAAGCGUGACUCUGAGGCUCGG
This is a small nucleolar RNA of Callipepla squamata (scaled quail), 75 nucleotides long. It matches the Rfam family "Small nucleolar RNA R38". From Rfam's summary of the family: snoR38 is a C/D box small nucleolar RNA conserved across yeast, human, Arabidopsis and rice. Lineage: Eukaryota; Metazoa; Chordata; Aves; Galliformes; Odontophoridae. The record is from Rfam.